GACGAAGGAUUCAAGCGUUGUCCGGAUUUACUGGGUUUAAAGGGUGCGUAGGCGGAAAUAUAAGUCAGUGGUGAAAUCCCGCAGCUCAACUGCGGAACUGCCAUUGAAACUGCAUUUCUUGAAUACGGUUGAGGUAGAUGGAAUGUAACAUGUAGCGGUGAAAUGCCUAGAUAUGUUACAGAACUCCGAUUGCGAAGGCAGUCUACUAAGCCGUUAUUGACGCUGAGGCACGAAAGCGUGGGGAGCAAACAGG
This 253-nucleotide ribosomal RNA is filed under the name uncultured bacterium. RNAcentral describes it as "partial 16S ribosomal RNA". It matches the Rfam family "Bacterial small subunit ribosomal RNA", at positions 524 to 776 of the family's 1533-position model. The record is from RNAcentral.